UGAGACAUGCGUGAGGCAGUAAGUCUUUCUCCCCGCUCUUGUGUUUUUUAAAGUGUUUGGCUGUGAAACAAGAUUAUAAUGUGCUCUUGUGUUGCUUAUAUGGUUAUGUACACUUCUUCUGCUCAUAGUUUGAGUGUUUUAGCGAACUUUUUGCUGGUGUACUGUUCGGUGGCGUUUUGUCGCUCACACACACACAGUGGCUGCGGCGUUUCAUUGAAGUUUUCCCUCCAUUUUAGACUGUUUUGCUGCUGAGUCCUGAGUUAACGCGGCGGCACUGUUUCCUGAAUAUUUCAUACAGAACAGCUCAAGACUCUCACUAUUAUGUUAGAUCCACCAUGGACUGGACUUUCACAAUAUUAUAUUAGACAAACUCGACGUCCAUUGCAUCCGCUCUCCCCUAGAGGGGGGGUCUAACACAUCUGCGGUCCUCUCCAAGGUUUCUCAUAGUCAUUCACAUUGACAUCCCACUGGGGUGAGUUUUUCCUUGCCCUUAUGUGGGCUCUGUUCACAGAGGAUGUCGUUGUAGCUUGUGCAGCCCUUUGAGACACUUGUGAUUUAGGGCUAUAUAAAUAAUCAUUGAUUGAUUGAUUGAUGUACCCUAAAACAUAUAUAUAGGUGUAAUGAAGUAAAACAUGCACUUUAUUAAUAUUUCGUUUAUAAUUUGUUAUUAUAGUAUUGUGUUUGAGUGAAUUUUAUCUCAAAAGAAAAGCGCUAUACAAGUACAACCCAUUUAUUUAUUUAUAAAAGAGUUCCUAUUUUUGUUGAUUGGACUGUUAUUUUUCUGUGACUCCUUCCUGGCUUCCGUAGUUUCCCUGAGCUUCUGUAGCUCCUCCCCUUCCGCCUCACUCGUGGUGUUGUGUGUCCUUUUCUAACACAAACCAACGGCUUACUUUUGUCAUUCUUGGCGUCACAGAGAAGGAGUUGGGUGUGAUUUUUUUACUUCAUUUGUAAGUAUGUGUAAUACUGUAAAUGUGUUUUUAUUUAACUUCCGUCCCACGCAGUUCUUUAUUUUGGCCGCUAAUCGGCAGUGUUGACUUUUUGCAUCCUAUAUAGAGUCAAUGUAGUAUCAUGAUAGUUUGUAUUUCUUCAAAAUGUUGUCAAAAUUUUGCAUCUUAUAUAGAGUAAAUGCUGUUUUAUUAUAGUGUGUAUUUCUUCUUUUAUAGAAUCAGUGCAGUAUCAUGAUAGUGUGUAUUUCUUCAAAAUGUUAAAGGCCUACUAAAACCCACUACUAGCCACCACGCAGUCUGAUAGUUUAUAUAUCAAUGAUGAAAUAUUAACAUUGCAACACAUGCCAAUACAGCCUUUUUAGUUUACUAAAUUGCAAUUUUAAAUUUCCCGCGGAGUUUCUUGUUGAAAAUGUCGCGGAAUGAUGACGUGUGCGCGUGACAUCACGGACUGUCAGAAAAUAUUAGCUCAGCACCACUUACGGCUAAAAGCCGUCUCUUUUCAUCGCAUAAUUACACAGUAUUUUGGACAUCUGUGUUGCUGAAUCUUUUGCAAUUUGUUCAAUUAGUAAUGGAGACGUCAAAGAAGAAUGCUGUUGGUGGAAAGCGGUGGAUUGCAGCUGCCUUUAGCACCGAGACACAGCCGGUGUUUCUUUGUUUUUAAAACAGAGCAGUCAAGAAACAUUUUUCUCUAUGUCAAACAGCAUGUUUUUGGAUGGGAAAAUUGUGAUGUAUCAUUGGAUUAUUCGUCCUCCUGCAGUAGCUGUUUAAAAGGUAGCUGUGAGCCUGGCUCCUCGGCUUCUCUCAGAGACACUGCGUGUUCACCGCAGCCAUCCGACCUCGAGCUUACAUUGCACUGGACAGGAUGCACAAUUGCUGCUGUGUAACUCGACAGGAGGCUUGUCGAUGCAAAAGCUCCUUCUUUACCGAGGACCCGCACAGGACAUCUGGUAACCUCAAAACCCAUCCAUCCAUCCAUUUCCUACCGCUUGUCCCAUUGGGGCCAUUUCAGUCAAAUAAUAAUAAAAUCUUGUUUUGUUG
Molecule: long non-coding RNA, 1985 nt
Organism: Nerophis ophidion (straightnose pipefish)
Lineage: Eukaryota; Metazoa; Chordata; Actinopteri; Syngnathiformes; Syngnathidae
Exons: 3
Source: RefSeq, a predicted model, not a curated record